UCCGUAGGUGAACCUGCGGAAGGAUCAUUACAAAUCUAAUUGUAGCUCUCAUCUUGAGAGUUUACAUAAGCACGGUGCCGCAAGGUGCCGAUGUUUACGCUUGUUUGUUUGACAGAGUUAUAUGUUGGCUUAAAAAUGACAACUUUUAACAAUGGAUCUCUUGGCUCUUGCAACGAUGAAGAACGCAGUAAAGUGCGAAAUGUAGUGCGAUUUGCAUGAAUCUGUGAGUCAUCUAAUCUUUGAACGCAACUUGCGCCUCUUUGAGGCAUGUUUGUUUGAGUGCCGCAAAACCCCUUUUACACUAACGUGUAAGUGUUGACCUCUGCCGAUAGGCUCUGGUUUAAAUGCUGUCAGUUAAUGGUACUAGUUGACUAGACCGAGUGCUAAGCAUUCUUGGUUAAAUCAACGAGGAUCAUCAUAUACAUUUUAUUUUGGCCUCAAAUCAAGCAAGAUUACCCGCUGAACUUAA
RNAcentral lists this ribosomal RNA (469 nucleotides) under uncultured fungus. RNAcentral describes it as "eukaryotic LSU rRNA". The stretch from base 141 to 285 matches the Rfam family "5.8S ribosomal RNA". Lineage: Eukaryota; Fungi. The record is from RNAcentral.